AUUGAACGCUGGCGGCAUGCCUUACACGUGCAAGUCGAACGGUAACAGGUCUUCGGAUGCUGACGAGUGGCGAACGGGUGAGUAAUACAUCGGAACGUGCCUAGUAGUGGGGGAUAACUACUCGAAAGAGUGGCUAAUACCGCAUGAGAUCUACGGAUGAAAGCAGGGGAUCGCAAGACCUUGUGCUACUAGAGCGGCCGAUGGCAGAUUAGGUAGUUGGUGGGAUAAAAGCUUACCAAGCCGACGAUCUGUAGCUGGUCUGAGAGGACGAUCAGCCACACUGGGACUGAGACACGGCCCAGACUCCUACGGGAGGCAGCAGUGGGGAAUUUUGGACAAUGGGCGCAAGCCUGAUCCAGCAAUGCCGCGUGCAGGAUGAAGGCCUUCGGGUUGUAAACUGCUUUUGUACGGAACGAAAAGCCCUGGGUUAAUACCCUGGGGUCAUGACGGUACCGUAAGAAUAAGCACCGGCUAACUACGUGCCAGCCGCCGCCGUAC
Molecule: ribosomal RNA, 498 nt
Filed under: uncultured bacterium
Lineage: Bacteria
Description: partial 16S ribosomal RNA
Rfam family: Bacterial small subunit ribosomal RNA
Source: RNAcentral